GCGAGGGUAGCCGAGCUGGCCAAAGGCGCGGGACUUAAGAUCCCGUACUUAGUGUUUCGUGGGUUCGAAUCCCAUCCCUCGCACCA
Molecule: transfer RNA, 86 nt
Filed under: Candidatus Methanomethylophilaceae archaeon
Lineage: Archaea; Methanobacteriati; Thermoplasmatota; Thermoplasmata; Methanomassiliicoccales; Methanomethylophilaceae
Description: tRNA-Leu
Rfam family: tRNA
About the family: Transfer RNA (tRNA) molecules are approximately 80 nucleotides in length. Their secondary structure includes four short double-helical elements and three loops (D, anti-codon, and T loops).
Source: RNAcentral